RNAcentral lists this ribosomal RNA (428 nucleotides) under uncultured bacterium. Its description in RNAcentral is "bacterial SSU rRNA". It matches the Rfam family "Bacterial small subunit ribosomal RNA", at positions 355 to 776 of the family's 1533-position model. The record is from RNAcentral.
UGGGGAAUUGUUCGCAAUGGGCGCAAGCCUGACGACGCAACGCCGCGUGGAGGAUGAAGGUCUUCGGAUUGUAAACUCCUGUUGCCCGGGACGAAUUGCUCCAACCUAAUACGUUGGAGUUUGACGGUACCGGGUGAGGAAGCCCCGGCUAACUCUGUGCCAGCAGCCGCGGUAAUACAGAGGGGGCAAGCGUUGUUCGGAAUUACUGGGCGUAAAGGGCGCGUAGGCGGCCUUCUAAGUCAGACGUGAAAUCCCCGGGCUCAACCCGGGAACUGCGUCUGAUACUGGAAGGCUUGAAUCCGGGAGAGGGAUGUGGAAUUCCAGGUGUAGCGGUGAAAUGCGUAGAUAUCUGGAGGAACACCGGUGGCGAAGGCGGCAUCCUGGACCGGUAUUGACGCUGAGGCGCGAAAGCCAGGGGAGCAAACGGG